CGGCCACAUUGGGACUGAGACACGGCCCAGACUCCUACGGGAGGCAGCAGUGGGGAAUAUUGCACAAUGGGCGCAAGCCUGAUGCAGCAACGCCGCGUGAAGGAAGACGGUUUUCGGAUUGUAAACUUCUGUUCUUAGUGAAGAAUAAUGACGGUAGCUAAGGAGCAAGCCACGGCUAACUACGUGCCAGCAGCCGCGGUAAUACGUAGGUGACAAGCGUUGUCCGGAAUUACUGGGUGUAAAGAGAGCGCAGGCGGGUGAUCAAGUCAGCUGUGAAAACUACGGGCUUAACCCGUAGACUGCAGUUGAAACUGUUCAUCUUGAGUGAAGUAGAGGUUGGCGGAAUUCCGAGUGUAGCGGUGAAAUGCGUAGAUAUUCGGAGGAACACCGGUGGCGAAGGCGGCCAACUGGGCUUUAACUGACGCUGAGGCUCGAAAGUGUGGGGAGCAAACAGGAUUAGAUACCCUGGUAGUCCACACUGUAAACGAUGAUAGCGAGGUGUGGGGGGUCUGACCCCUUCCGUGCCGGAG
This 530-nucleotide ribosomal RNA is filed under the name uncultured bacterium. RNAcentral describes it as "bacterial SSU rRNA". It matches the Rfam family "Bacterial small subunit ribosomal RNA", at positions 305 to 851 of the family's 1533-position model. The record is from RNAcentral.